AUUGAACGCUGGCGGAAUGCUUUACACAUGCAAGUCGAACGGCAGCACGGACUUCGGUCUGGUGGCGAGUGGCGAACGGGUGAGUAAUGUAUCGGAACGUGCCCAGUCGUGGGGGAUAACGUAGUGAAAAUUACGCUAAUACCGCAUACGAUCUAUGGAUGAAAGCGGGGGAUCGCAAGACCUCGCGCGAUUGGAGCGGCCGAUAUCAGAUUAGGUAGUUGGGGGGGUAAAGGCCCACCAAGCCAACGAUCUGUAGCUGGUCUGAGAGGACGACCAGCCACACUGGAACUGAGACACGGUCCAGACUCCUACGGGAAGCAGCAGUGGGGAAUUUUGGACAAUGGGCGAAAGCCUGAUCCAGCCAUUCCGCGUGCAGGAUGAAGGCCCUCGGGUUGUAAACUGCUUUUGUACAGAACGAAAAGGUUUCUACUAAUACUAGGAGCUCAUGACGGUACUGCAAGAAUAAGCACCGGCUAACUACGUGCCAGCCGCCGCAGUAA
RNAcentral lists this ribosomal RNA (500 nucleotides) under uncultured bacterium. RNAcentral's name for it is "partial 16S ribosomal RNA". It matches the Rfam family "Bacterial small subunit ribosomal RNA", at positions 30 to 523 of the family's 1533-position model. The record is from RNAcentral.